GGAGGAAAGUAGGGGAUCGCAAGACCUUGCGCUCUUUGAGCGGCCGAUGUCUGAUUAGCUAGUUGGUGAGGUAAAGGCUUACCAAGGCGACGAUCAGUAGCUGGUCUGAGAGGACGACCAGCCACACUGGGACUGAGACACGGCCCAGACUCCUACGGGAGGCAGCAGUGGGGAAUUUUGGACAAUGGGGGAAACCCUGAUCCAGCCAUGCCGCGUGAGUGAAGAAGGCCUUCGGGUUGUAAAGCUCUUUCAGCCGGAACGAAACGGUCACGGCUAAUACCUGUGAUCACUGACGGUACCGGAAGAAGAAGCACCGGCUAACUACGUGCCAGCAGCCGCGGUAAUACGUAGGGUGCAAGCGUUAAUCGGAAUUACUGGGCGUAAAGCGUGCGCAGGCGGUUUUGUAAGUCAGAUGUGAAAUCCCCGGGCUUAACCUGGGAACUGCGUUUGAAACUACAAAGCUAG
Molecule: ribosomal RNA, 465 nt
Filed under: uncultured bacterium
Lineage: Bacteria
Description: bacterial SSU rRNA
Rfam family: Bacterial small subunit ribosomal RNA
Source: RNAcentral